GACCAACUCAAAAUACUUGUUCA
Molecule: non-coding RNA, 23 nt
Filed under: Arabidopsis thaliana (thale cress)
Lineage: Eukaryota; Viridiplantae; Streptophyta; Magnoliopsida; Brassicales; Brassicaceae
Source: RNAcentral